This 300-nucleotide ribosomal RNA is filed under the name Triticum aestivum (bread wheat). RNAcentral's name for it is "partial small subunit ribosomal RNA". Lineage: Eukaryota; Viridiplantae; Streptophyta; Magnoliopsida; Poales; Poaceae. The record is from RNAcentral.
AUGCAGAUGCUCCUGUGCCACAGAGUGCAAGCAAUAGUUCCUGAUACUUGCAGAAACUGUUGCCUUACAAGUAAUUCUUGUGACUACAGGCAGGAGCAUGAUAGGACAAGUGCUUCAGGAACUGAAGGUAGUAUCUGCCUUGCAGAUGCCCAAGGCGAUGGGAAUGGUAUGUUUAGUCCUGUGCGUGUUAACGUAAGAGGAGCAGCUGAUGGACUUGCUGGCAUUGGGAGAGGAAACUCAAAUGUGACUGGUGCUGCUUGGGCUCCUACGCAUCAUAACGAAGCAACAUUCAGAAUUUAG